GAUUGUGACACAUACCUGGGCCCAGUACCUAGGUGAUGUGGCUCUCUUGCUUGGGACCUGCCAAACAGGGGACUUUAAUAUACCUGGGCCCCACAUCUAGGUGAUGUGACUCUUCUGCUGGGCCUCGACCAUAAGAGAGAUUGCGAUAUAUACAUGGGCCCAGCCUUCAGGUGAUGUAGCUCUUCUGCCUGAGCCAGGCUCACAGGGGGAAUUGUAAGAUUUAGCUGGACCCAGCUCACAGGCAAUGAUGACUCUCAUACCUGGACCCAGUGAAGAGGAGACAUUCUGACUCUCAUAGCUAGCCUUAAGGAAAUAGAGAAAGUGCAAGAACCACCAGGUCUUAGGGCACAUGGCCAGGACCAGGAGGUACCCAGUGAAGUGCUCUAAUAUGGUCCUGUCCCACAGCCCCUGAACCAAAUAAGGACAAGCAGAACCUGAAACCAAGGAAGGCUUGGGAACUGCAGACUCCAGGACUCUUUACUAAGACUAACAGGAGGAAUGAAGGCAAAGAUCAGAUACCUGCACGGUUGAAACCGUACCCAGACUUUGGAAUUUUAGUGUCUCCUUCUUUAUUCUGUGUGCACAGCCCUCUUUAAGAGUGGAGAGAGAAACAUAACAGAAAUACAUGAAGAGUCCGGGUGCGGUGACUCACGCCUGUAAUCCCAGCAUUUUGGGAGGCCGAGGGGGGCAGAUCAUGAUGUCAGGAAAUCGAGAUCAUCCUGACUAACACAGUGAAACCCCAUCUCUACUGAAAAAUACAAAAAAAAAAAAAAAAUUAGCCAGGCGUGCCUAUAGUUCCAGCUACUCAGGAGGCUGAGGCAGGAGAAUCGCUUGAACCUGGGAGGUGGAGGUUGCAGUGAGCUGAGAUCGUGCCACUGCACUCCAACCUGGUGACAGAGCAAGACUGUGUUUCAAAAAAAAAAAAAAAAAAUACAUGAAGAGCCCAGCAUACUCCCGAGUUCCUCUCUCAGGAGCUCAUUCUAUUCCUGGAGGAUCACUGUGAGCAGGUGUAUGAAGAUACCUUGAAACUGCAUGUGGCAGGCACAAUUGCAGUAGAUUACAAAUGAAAGCCCAUCUUGAUUGGAUAUGAAGAAACCAUGCAAGGAUACUUGGAGUUGGGGGCUGGAUUUGACAUGAAGGCAGAAGACACCUUCACAAAAUUCAAAAGACCUUCAUUGCUUUCCUCACAGCAAAAUAUGAGCAAGGACAGUGCCCCUGCUGUUCCUUCCCAGGGUGGUGACAGAAAGUUGAGACACAUACAAACACUUAGCGUAGUUUACUCAGCAAGCAAGAAAAUCUUGGAAGGAAGAUUCUACUGCAGAAUUUGUGCAGCAGAUAUGAACUGAAGCAUCAGCAAAACUGAAAAGUAAUGAGAGAAUCUGGUGGCUCUGAGGUGUUUUUUUCCCUUUGUUUCCUGCUUAGUUGCUCUUUGUGGAUCCCCUGACUUGUUUUACUCCUGUGCCCUUUAUGAAUGAGUGAUGAUCAUCUUAAAAAUCAGGAUGUUCGGCCAGGUGCGAUGGCUCACGCCUGUAAUCCCAGCACUUUGGGAGGCCGAGGCGGGUGGAUCACCUGAGGUCAGGAGUUCGAGCCCAGCCUCACCAACGUGGUGAAACUCCAUCUGUACUGAAAAUACAAAAAUUAGCCUGGCUUGGUGGUGUGUGCCUGUAGUGCCCACUACUCAGGAGCCUGAGGCAGGAUAAUCGCUUGAACCCGGGAGGCAGAGGUUGCAGUGAGCCAGGAUUGCACCACUGCACUCCAGCCUGGGUAACAGAGAGAGACUCUGUCUCCAAAAAAAAAAAAAAAUCAAGAUGGUAAAAAAUAUUUUUCAUGUAUGUGUACCUUCCUUUUUACUCUUCUUCUUCUUCUUCUUCCUCUUCUUCUUCUCCUUCUUCUUCUUCUCCUUCUCCUCCUCCUCCUCCUCCUUCUCCUCCUUCUCCUCCUCCUCCUCCUCCUCCUUUUUCUCAUCCUCCUCCUCCUCCUCUUCUCCUUCUCCUGCUGCUGCUGCUUUUUUGGAUUCUUCUGCUUCUGUUUUCUUUUUCUCUUUGCUAUUAUGUACAUGCCCACCAAGAACAUGCUAGGUAUGGGGAUUUCUGCACAGAUGCUCAAGUGUUUUAUGAGAUGCCUUCUGGGAGGUAGAAUCCUUUAUGUAAGAUCAUGUGUCUUUCCACGCUUGAUACAUAUUUUUAAAUUAUCUUUCAAAAGGUAAUUGGCCAUUUAUACUCCUUACAAGCAUGCACAAAACAGCAGGUUUCCUCUGAUAACAUAGAGACCGUAUUAAGGAACAUUUAAAUUUCCAAACUGAUGGUCACACAAACUCAUAUAUUUUGUAAUUAUUUUUUAGCCACCAUUAAAGUUGGAUGCCUCUUUAUGUAGAUAAUGACAAUUUUUACUUCUUUUACUGUGAAAUGUUAUUAUAGGUCCGUG
This 2424-nucleotide long non-coding RNA is filed under the name Pan troglodytes (chimpanzee). RNAcentral describes it as "long non-coding RNA NONPTRT008035". The record is from RNAcentral. Lineage: Eukaryota; Metazoa; Chordata; Mammalia; Primates; Hominidae.